Molecule: ribosomal RNA, 444 nt
Filed under: uncultured Sphingobacteriales bacterium
Lineage: Bacteria; Pseudomonadati; Bacteroidota; Sphingobacteriia; Sphingobacteriales
Description: bacterial SSU rRNA
Rfam family: Bacterial small subunit ribosomal RNA
Source: RNAcentral
GCAUGUGGUUUAAUUCGAUGAUACGCGAGGAACCUUACCUGGGCUCGAACGUAAGAUGACUGUAGGUGAAAGCUUACAUCUCUUCGGAGCAUUUUACGAGGUGCUGCAUGGUUGUCGUCAGCUCGUGCCGUGAGGUGUCGGGUUAAGUCCCAUAACGAGCGCAACCCUACCUUUAGUUGCCAUCAGGUAAUGCUGGGGACUCUAAAGGAACUGCCUACGCAAGUAGUGAGGAAGGCGGGGAUGACGUCAAAUCAGCACGGCCCUUACGUCCAGGGCUACACACGUGCUACAAUGGCCGAUACAGAGGGCAGCUACCUGGUGACAGGAUGCAAAUCUCCAAAGUCGGUCUCAGUUCGGAUCGGAGUCUGCAACCCGACUCCGUGAAGUUGGAUUCGCUAGUAAUCGCGCAUCAGCCAUGGCGCGGUGAAUACGUUCCCGGGCCUU